CAUGCAAGCGAUACUGCAGGGCCAGAAUCAGAAUCAUCAGCACGUAGCAACUGAUUGGAUUUCUGGAGCAAGAAAGAAGAGUUGAAGAUAAUGUUGAACUUUCUCAUUGGGAGAUUUUACUAACAUUAUUGAGCAAUUACUGCAUGAUGGAUGUUACGCUAAGAGCAUUCUACAAUUAUUAUACCUCUUACGUCUCCCAGUAGUUCUGUUAAGCACUGAAUACUGUGGAUACAAAGAGCCCAGAGUCAUCAAGAGGAACCAGGAACUCUAACAUGAUGUGUGGAGCAGGCUAUGCAAAGAGGGGUACCUCUCCCAGUCAGAGGCAUCAGAGAAGGCUUCCUGGUGGAG
RNAcentral lists this long non-coding RNA (348 nucleotides) under Homo sapiens (human). RNAcentral describes it as "non-protein coding LINC02413:15". Lineage: Eukaryota; Metazoa; Chordata; Mammalia; Primates; Hominidae. The record is from RNAcentral.